Molecule: ribosomal RNA, 468 nt
Filed under: uncultured bacterium
Lineage: Bacteria
Description: partial 16S ribosomal RNA
Rfam family: Bacterial small subunit ribosomal RNA
Source: RNAcentral
GACGAACGCUGGCGGCGUGCUUAACACAUGCAAGUCGAACGGAAAGGCCCUGCUUUUGUGGGGUGCUCGAGUGGCGAACGGGUGAGUAACACGUGAGUAACCUGCCCUUGACUUUGGGAUAACUUCAGGAAACUGGGGCUAAUACCGGAUAGGAGCUCCUGCUGCAUGGUGGGGGUUGGAAAGUUUCGGCGGUUGGGGAUGGACUCGCGGCUUAUCAGCUUGUUGGUGGGGUAGUGGCUUACCAAGGCUUUGACGGGUAGCCGGCCUGAGAGGGUGACCGGCGACAUUGGGCCUGAGAUACGGCCCAGACUCCUACGGGAGGCAGCAGUGGGGAAUAUUGCACAAUGGGCGGAAGCCUGAUGCAGCAACGCCGCGUGCGGGAUGACGGCCUUCGGGUUGUAAACCGCUUUCGCCUGUGACGAAGCGUGAGUGACGGUAAUGGGUAAAGAAGCACCGGCUAACUACGUG